AUUGAACGCUGGCGGCAGGCCUAACACAUGCAAGUCGAACGGUAACAGGAAGAAGCUUGCUUCUUUGCUGACGAGUGGCGGACGGGUGAGUAAUGUCUGGGAAACUGCCUGAUGGAGGGGGAUAACUACUGGAAACGGUAGCUAAUACCGCAUAACGUCGCAGGACCAAAGAGGGGGACCUUCGGGCCUCUUGCCAUCGGAUGUGCCCAGAUGGGAUUAGCUAGUAGGUGGGGUAACGGCUCACCUAGGCGACGAUCCCUAGCUGGUCUGAGAGGAUGACCAGCCACACUGGAACUGAGACACGGUCCAGACUCCUACGGGAGGCAGCAGUGGGGAAUAUUGCACAAUGGGCGCAAGCCUGAUGCAGCCAUGCCGCGUGUAUGAAGAAGGCCUUCGGGUUGUAAAGUACUUUCAGCGGGGAGGAAGGGAGUAAAGUUAAUACCUUUGCUCAUUGACGUUACCCGCAGAAGAAGCACCGGCUAACUCCGUG
RNAcentral lists this ribosomal RNA (490 nucleotides) under uncultured bacterium. Its description in RNAcentral is "partial 16S ribosomal RNA". It matches the Rfam family "Bacterial small subunit ribosomal RNA", at positions 30 to 507 of the family's 1533-position model. The record is from RNAcentral.